RNAcentral lists this unclassified non-coding RNA (160 nucleotides) under uncultured Helotiales. RNAcentral's name for it is "sequence contains ITS1". The record is from RNAcentral. Lineage: Eukaryota; Fungi; Ascomycota; Leotiomycetes; Helotiales.
CAGAGUUCAUGCCCUCACGGGUAGAUCUCCCACCCUUGAUAUAUUUACACUUGUUGCUUUGGCAGGCCGCGGCCUCCGCUACCGGCUCCGGCUGGUAAGUGCCUGCCAGAGGACCCAAAACUCUGAAUGUUAAUGUCGUCUGAGUACUAUAUAAUAGUUA